Non-coding RNA from Camelina sativa (false flax), 10443 nucleotides. The record is from RefSeq and is a predicted model, not a curated record. NCBI's taxonomy places the organism in Eukaryota, Viridiplantae, Streptophyta, Magnoliopsida, Brassicales, Brassicaceae.
CUACGUCUUUAAAGGGUCUUUUGGAAGCAAACCAUGAUCCAAUCAUCACGUAUUCUAUAAUCCAUGUUAUUGUCUUCAAGCGUUCUCAUGGAUUUGAGGAGGAUGAUCCUGCGACUGAUCGGUGAUGGCUUUGACUGAUCGUUGUCACUCUCUUACUCAUGUUGCUCUUCUAGGGGUUGGUUUCUAAAUUGAAUCAUUCAAGGCUUUGUUUAUUAUGUUCAUGCGAUUUUUAACUCUUCUUGGCUCUGUAACAUCACUGUUGAUAUGGGAAUACGCUUUAGGGGAAUGUCGAUUCUUGAAUGCCAGAAAACUCUUCAGCUCAAUCUGGAGUAAAGCCCUUACCUGAGGGUCCUCUGUGGCUGCCGUUAACUGCAAAGGGGCCAAACAAAGAGCAAGUUGAGGCUCAUCGUGCGGGUGUGCCAGAGAGUUGUAAUGGUGGCGACGAGAGAAGAGAGCAGACAUAAACUUAAACAGGUAUGUAGAAUUAGGGUUCCUGGAGCUUCAAACUCAAACCCCUAUGGGUUCCUUAAAAUCAGAUAGAGUAUCUAUCUGUGGUCCAAUAUUACUCGGUCAGGGAGGAUUUUGAAGGCUAUUGCGAGAAUAUCCGGUGAUGUGUACAUCCCUCGGGGGUGUUUCUGUCCCGAUCAACUUUGAGCUGGCCUGUACGUACGCCUAGGCCAGUUGCAUCAAAGCUUGCUGCCGAUACUCCUCUACUUGCUGGGCAGUGUGUUUUCGAUCCCUUUUCACUUCUGUUCUUGGUUCCAUCCCUGGUGAUUCUGGCUGUGGGAAAGCUGUUAUCAGUCAGGCACAGCCAAAAGAUUAUAUAUGGAAAACGUUAAACAGUGGCAAGGUCGUUCCACGAUAUGGCCAUGUUUUUUUUUGGCGUUUCACCUCCUGGAGGAGACUUUUCAGAUCAUGUGACUUCUGCAACCCUUCGUAUUGUGAAGGUCUUCUGAGGUUUGGACAAAAAGCUUGCCCAGAGAAAACAUUCUCCCUCUGUCGAUUGGUUGAUUUCCUACAAAGUAUUCAACGGCAUUGAAAUAUUUCUAUAAGAAGUUCGAUCAAAAUUUCAUCAACAUCAUCAGGACAAAGGCCAGAGAGGUUUUGCAGAGGAAAAAGACGAUCUUGAUGAAAUUGUCCAGGUUCCGAACCCAACACUGCAGUCAAGUAAUGUCCAAGGAGCCUUCUUCAAUCGGGCUCUUACUUAAGCUCCUCUCUAAACCAGAGGAUCUCCGGUUCUUGGUGUGGGGUUUUACUGCAUCUUUGGCCAAAGCGUCAGGAUCACAGGUUAUGCUUUUUAAUGGUUGUUACUUUGACGUUUGAUUGAGCUUAAUUCAGGGAAAGGAGUGUCACAAACAUAGCCGCUAGCGAGCUCUACCAAUGCAUGAAUUAGACCAUGAGCAAACGCCCAAGAAGAAGAAGAACUCCUCAAGGAUAAAGUGCCGUAUUAGAACCAGUAGCUACACCACAGAGAAAGCCUCAGUAAAUAACAAGUUACUCCUACCGAAGCAAUCACAGAGCUGGAUAUGGUGCCAAGUGAGUAUCAGAGCGGACGAACGUUAUUUGUUUCCAUGACGUUUCUUCUUCUUCUUCAACUGGAUUUAUCUGAUUUGAUCGAGCAAGUAAAGAUCGUGGAGAUGCUUUCAAGAAUUAAAACUAAUUCUAUUGGAUUGAUGGUGUUUGACCAAGUACAGGUUUACAGACCACCCGUGGCCUAACGUUGAUGCUCUUAGUAGAGUGCUGCUGAACUAUUAUCGUCUAACCGAAAGAAAGAUUUAGAUACUACACUGUGCUUUUUGGCUGUCUCAAGGGAUCUCGUCAUCUGCUCACAUGUGAUAUGGGACCGGGCUCUUCGACUGCCACUAGAGCGGCCAAAGAGUGUAAACAUGUCCUCCCAAAGGUGAAACUUUGCAACUUCGUGGGGCUCUUAAGCUCCUCUACAUCUCUCAGAGUGAGUCUGUCCCAGCUCUUGAAAAAUAUUGUCUUUAGGAGUUCCAGCCCAACAAAUUUGAGAGAAAGAAACAGAGAGAGAUCGUUCUAGUGGCGACAAGAGAGCAACAUGAUGAUGGUUCGAACUUACUACUCAACCGAUCCAUGAAUUGUAUGGAGAAUUAGGGUUCCUGGAGCUUCGAACCUCAAUGCCAUGCGUUCCUUAUUCCAGAUAAAGUAUCUAUCUAUGGGUCCAAUAUUAGUCGGUUUCGAGCCAGCUAAGCAAUGACCACUAUCUUGGAGGAGAUUUCUGCCAUGAUCCAAGAAUAUGAUCGUUGUGGCUUGAAACGACAGUGUUUUGAAAAUUCUAUGAAUUGUGCUUUUGGUGUUAGUUGGCAGCCCACAUAUUCUUAUCCUUCCUUCCCCUUUGUUUGAAAUCAAAACGGAACAGAGGAGUCAGGACUGAGCUUUGGUAUUGAUUAGAGAAUCCUUGAAGCAUUAUAAUGGCGACGUGAGAGCAAACAAGUCAGAGAGUGGUGGGCUUUGAUUGAUUUAUUUAACUCUCUCUCUCUCUCGUUGAUUCAGAACACAAUCGUCGCCAACGUGCUUGCUUAAGGUCAAGGAGAUCAUCAUUGAAGGUAGAGAGCAUAAACAACUAAUUCCAUAAAUGACACCAUUUUAUGAGCCAACGUCCAAGAAGAAGAAGAAGAAGAAGAAGACCCCCAGGGACCUGAGAUGAAGUGGAAUUGAUAAUGAUGCUGGUUGUUGCUGUUCUCGUAUGUCUGGUUUAGCCUUAUUUUAUGAUUUCAAAUUAUAUUUCUAUGUGAAUUCAUUAUCUUCAUAAAGUUGGAACCAUUGUGAGAGUGCGUUGGUUCUUCUAUCUUAUUCUCUCAUGCAAAAGGCUGGACAAAUUCAGUUAACAGUAAUGUCGCUGAUCUUCCUAGUGAUGUUAGCCUGCAUGUUUUAACUUUUAAGCCUAAGAUCCUAUAUUUUAGUGGAGGAGGAUGCUUUGAUCGGCUGGUGAUGGUUUUGAUGGAUCGUUUUUGUCUUCUCUGCGCUACAUCUUCAGUUUCGGAUGAUGCUUUUAUCGAUGAGAGUGAUGGCUUUGAUGGACACGUUUCUUCUCUGUGCUACUUCUUCAAAGGGUAUUUUGGAAGCAAACCAUGAUCCAAACAUCACGUUUCUAAUCCAUGUUAUUGUCUUCAAGUGUUCUCAUUGAUUUGUGGACAAUGAUCCUGCGAUUGAUCGGUGAUGGCUUUGACUGAUCGUUGUCACUCUCUUACUCAUGUUGCUCUUCUAGAGUUUGGUUUCUAAAUUGAUCAUUCAAGGCUUUUUUAUUAUGUUCAUGCGAUUUUUAACUCUACUUGGCUCUGUUAAUUUUAGAUUGUGGAGGAGGAUGCUUUGAUCAGUUGGUGACGGUUUUGAUGGCUUGUAUUUGUCCUCUCUGCGGUACAUCUUCAGAUCAUGAGGAACUAGGAUUACUGUGUGGGAGGUUCAAAGAGAAAAAACAAAGAUUGUGAGAGCGUUUAAUUUCUGAGUUUAACUUUCAGUUUGUGGAUGAUACUUUUUUGUGGAUGAUACUUUUAUCGAUGAGAGUGAUGGCUUUGAUGGACACGCUUCUUGUCUGUGCUACAUCUUUAAACGGUUUUCUUCUUCCUCUUCACACGUCUUCAGGUUCGGCGCCAGCCAACACUAGCCAAGCAAUUUAUAGCCAAGACGAAGUGGAAUUGAUAAUGGUGCUGGUUGUUCGUGUUCUCGUAGUGUCACCAUGUUGAUAUAUGCUGACAUCCUUAUUCGUGGUUAUGCUGGUUGGAAUUCUAGGUUUGCCUUGAAGGUCUUAGACCAAGUCUUCCCAAAGGUACACUCUGGUAGUCUUCUCUUGAUCAAUUGAUGAUGGUUCUAUAUGAUGGAUCUUUCUGGUCUGCUCUUGGCUAAAGCUUCAGAUCAUCAUGAGGAACCAGGAUUACUGUGUGGGAGGUUCGAAGAGAAAGAAAAAUCAUUGUGGGAGACUGGGAGUGUGUUUGAUUUCUAAGUUUAACUUUCAGGGUCCAUUAGUUGAUGAGACGUUGUCGUUUUGGAGUAUCGUCUCCUUCCAUCCCCUUGUCUGAAAACAAAAUGGAACGGAGGACUUUAGGAGUGACGACUGAGGAGUGAGGAGUGAGAGACUACUCUGAGCAAAGUGCAAGGCGCUGUCAAAAGACUUGUCUCAUCAUGCGGCUGUGCCAGGAUGUACAAGGAUGGUAGCAUCAUUCCAUUAGAUGAUUCCUUAGGCUAUGCUGCAAUUUUUUCACACAUGAGCUACUCAGAUGAAAGAGCUCAUGAGGCUUUAUCUCACCGUCCACAGGUUACGAGCCAGUCAACACUGCAGCCAAGCAAUGGCUCCUAUCUUGAAGGAGAUUCUGCCACGAUCCAAGGAAGUAGCUGGAUUAACAGAUAUUGAGCCUGUUCGCACAAACCACUUUCUCUGGAGCUUGGACCAGGAGGCCAUUGAAGAACUAUUACCAGAAUAUCCGGUCCCGUGAUGUGUACAUCCCUCGGGGUGUUUCUGUCCCAGCUCUUGACAAAGAUUGUCCUUGGGGACUAGUUCCCAGCCCAAUCAGCUAUGUCGAGGGAGACACAAUAAUUGCUGGUGUAUGUUGUACGUUUAUUAAUUGGUCUCCUCCUUAAUCUGAUUUUACACAGUUACUGUGGUGUUGAGUGAGAGAGAGAUACAGAGAUCAAGAUGAUAAAUAGAUUGUUCUAAUGGCUACGAGAGAGCAAGAUGAUGAUGGUCUUGGACUCCACAGAUCCAUGAAUUGUAUGGAGAAUUAGGGUUCAUGGAGGUUCCAAACCUCAAUGCCUUGGGUUCCUUAUUCCAGAUAGAGUAUCUAUCUAUGGGUCCAAUAUUACUCGGCCAGGGUUCCGAGCCAGCCAAGCAAUUACCACUAUCUUGGAGGAGAUUUCUGCCACGAUCCAAGAAGAUGAUCAUUGUGGCUUGAAACGACAGUAUUUUGAAAAUUCUAGGAAUUGUGCUUUUGGUGUUAGUUUUGCGGCCCAUAUUCUUCUUCUUCCUUCCGCUUAGUCUGAAAUCAAAACGAAACAGAGAGGAGUCAGGACUGAGCUUUGGUAUUGAUUAGAGGUCUUUUGGAAGCAAACCAUGAUCCAAUCAUCACGUUUCUAAACCAUGUUAUUGUCUUCAAUCGUUCUCAUGGGUUCCUUGCUCUAAACUCAUCUCUAUUUGCUUCUUUAUUGUCACUUUGGUUCGGUGGUUUUGUCUUAUCUUCUGGUUACAUAAUGUCGUUUUUGUUUUGUUGGUUUAGAUUUGUGGAGGAUGAUCCUGCGAUUGAUCGGUGAUGGCUUUGACUUAUCGUUGUCACUCUCUUACUCUUGUUGCUCUUCUAGAAUUUGGUUUCUAAAUUGAUCAUUCAAGGCUUUUUUAUUAUGUUCAUGCGAUUUUUAACUCUACUUGGCUCUGUUAAUUUUAGAUUGUGGAGAAGGAUGCUUUGAUUGGUUGGUGACUGUUUUGAUGGCUUGUAUUUGUCCUCUCUGCGGUACAUCUUCAGAUCAUGAGGACCUAGGAUUACUGUGUGGGAGGUUCAAAGAGAAAAAAACAAACAUUGUGGGAGCGUUUGAUUUAUGAGUUUUAACUUUCAGAUCGUGAAGGCACUGGGAGGACUGAUGUGAUAAAAUCUUACCUUUGGUCUGUCAUCUUUUUAAGAUCGUGGAGGUUAAGGACCUUGUUGGAGGGAAGGAUGGUUUGAGAGUAUAUAACUUCGAGUUUCUGGUUACUUCACAUCUAUACUAAUGGCUAUUUUUGGUGAGGUUUUGGAUCGUUUGAUGUCUUUUAUGGGAUCAUGCUUUGAUGGAAACGCUUCUUCUCCGCUCUAACGUCUUCAGGGGUUUUGAUGGAAACGCUUCUUCUCCGUGCUAACGUCUUCUUAACGGGUUUUGGUCUUACUCAUAAGUCUUAACACUGGGCUCGGUUUAAGAAUUAUGGGAAUUGGGCUCUGGUGUUAGUUGGCCCACCAUAAUUCUUUAUUUCUUCUUUUAGGGUCCAUUAGUUGAUGAGACGCUGUCGUUUUGGAGCAUCGUCUCCUUCCAUCCCCCUUGCCUGAAAACAAAACGGAACGGAGGACUUGAGGAGUGAGGAUCUGAGCUUUAACAUAAUUUGUUCUCUAUUUUUUUCUCAUCCAGUCCAGUUUCAUGAUUCGAUUUCCUGCCUGGGGUUUUGGAGGAAGAACAUCUGAUGGUUCUGUGUCUCCUCAUGCUUUUUACAACAUUAUACGGCGACGAGUUUUUGUCUCAAGGACGUUAACCAAGCUUGUGGCCAAUUUGAUAACAACACAGUCUGGUGCAGGCCGUGUCCUUGCUUGUCAUCUUCAAUCCGUCCGAGACAGUCUAUGGGCUACUUUGAUCAUGUUUAUGGCCAGCCUGUGAUACUUCAUUACAAUUAAUAAGGCCAUACUCUCUGAUGAUUUGGUGGUAGUUUCACUUCAUGUUGGUAGUGUCGCGCGAGGGCUCGUCCCAUAAUCUUUCACAAUGCUUCAGAGCUGGCUUGUACGUAUGCCUUGGCCAGUUGCUUCAAAGCUUGGUGCUGAUACUCCUCUACUUACUGGGCAGCGUGUCCUUGAUGCCCUUUCCCCUUCAGUUUGUGGUGGAACCUGCGCCAUUCCUGGUGCUUCUGGCUGUGGGAAAAUUGUUAUCAGUUAUGCACUUUCCAAGGUAAUGAACUUAUCAGGUGAUGCUAAAGGGAAGGACCGUCUGACGACACUCAAGUCAGAAUAUUUCUUUCUAUCUGGGUAUAGAGCUUGGGAGAAUCAAGAUUAAACGUUUUGCUGAUGCUGGGAUCUAUGCUCAGCUGCAAGAGAGUGCUCAAGGACGUGAAUCUGUUGCAGCCAACCUUGUUGCAGAUUUGACAUUGCAGGUGAGUUAUAAGUCUGUAAUGGUGGACGACAUGAUUGACACAGAAGCAAUGCAGGACCUAAAGUCGCAGCUGCAAGAGUUAAUUAUGGAACAGCAGGACCAUAUGAUGAAACUCAAGUCAGAAUAUUUCUUGCUAUAUGGGUUUGGAGCUUGGGAAAAUCAAGAUUAAACGUUUUGGUGAUGCUGAGAUUUAAGCUCAGCUGCAAGAGAGUCUAAGCUUGUAGCAAAUAUAACACAGCUUGGUGCAGACCGUGUCCUUGCUUGUGAUCUUCACUCUGGACAGUCUAUGGGAUACUUUGACAUUCCAGUCGAUCAUGUUCAUGGCCAGGUAAAGGUUCCUAUCUUAAAUGAUUCCUCAAAAGUAUUUAGUAUCUAGCAACUCCGCUCCACAAGACAAGACAAAGUCUUUUUAACACCCAAGUUUCCCGAGCUCGACCUGUGAAAAGACAGAUAGUAGGAAGGCAGUGCAUCUAGGUUCACCGAGAUCUCGACAGCUCCAGCUUUGCCUGCACCACAAAGAAGUACACCACAUCUGCUAGAGUUUUCUGGAAUUUAAUCUUCAAGCAAUGGAAAGGGCUAACAAACAUCCAUAAACAUCUUCAAUAGCUUCACCGCCUCACUAUACUGAACUAAGGAGGCUUGUAGCCCUGUGAACAAAAAGGGAAACGAGUAUUGCUCUGACCUGCUUCAAGAUCCUUAAUUUGAGUUCACUCACGACUCCUGCCAGUGGCUUGAAUGAAUGCUUGACUACAAUGUACGUGGCGGGAAGCUCAAUCGUGGUCUCUCCAUGGUUGAUAGCUACAAGCUGUUCAAGCCAAGCCAAGACUUGACCGAUUAAGGGACUUUCAUUUUGUGUGCUCUCAGGUGGUGCAUUGAAUGGGUUCUAGGAGCCAACAUAUGAGGAUUGUCUCGACCUGAUUGCUCGUGUUCCUGUUGUAGCUGCGUAUGUUUAUCGGAGGAUGUACAAGAAUGGUGAUUCCAUCCCCUCAGAUAUAUCUUUGGAUUAUGGUUGUUCUAGGAUAUGGACACCAUCUUCUGCGCAAAACUGUUCCAAGGGCAAAAGAGAGUUUGCCUUGAAGCAUUUACCUGAUGACGCUCUUUUCCCAGCUGGUGUCAAAGCUUUACGAAGUUGGGCCACCCUGUUCUCACCGAGCUUGAAAAGGUGAAGAACCCGUGACCAAGUGUUGAUGCUCACAGUGGGGUCUUGCUGGACUACUAUGGUCGAACCGAAGUAAGGUACUACACCGUUCUCUUUCGUGUUUGAAGGAGUCGUGGCAUCUGCUCUCAGGUAUAUCUAUAUAUUUUACACAAUGAGUAAAUUAAGAAGAAAAAAAGAAAUCAUCAGAAGGCAUUGAACGACAAAUAAUUUAACUGUCCAACUAACAAAUAGUAUCAAACCGGUUAUUCGAUCAAAAGCUUUUACUUUUAACGAAUUAGCCAGAAAAUUGGAAUUCGAAUGAAGAGAAACCAAAGUGUAUCAUUUCAUCCCCAUUGUCUAAUUUGGCUCCUUCACUGUAUCCACCUGAAACACACAGAACCUCAGAUUUACGCUACAGUGUGCAUCAGAUUAGAUUUAUGAAUAGAGGAAACAAACCUCAUUGAGGUGUUGAGCAGACUUGGAGGUUAUAUAAGCGAUACGUGUGUAUCACUUCUAAUGUUUUUAUGAUUAGUGGAUUUAAAAAAAAAACCGUCUUUCCGUCCUAAAGAACAAAUAAAAAAGAACUAAUGCCCUUUCAUCAAAGUGUAUAGUUCCAACCAGAAAGGCUCUUCACUUGGUUACAAUUAGUUCCAACCAGAAAGAGCGAGACAGACAGCGAGUGAGCGAGAGGGUAUGAUUAUAAUGGUCUGUGUUCGUGUUCUAACCAGGACGAUGAUGUAUUUGACUCAGUAACUAACAACAUUAAACUGAUUAGAAGUUAACAACAUCAAACUGAUUCAGAACCAAAAAAGGUAAGCUUAUGGGUUUGAAGAGUGAAGAAAAUUCAGAACCAAAAAAGAUUAUGGCCUAUGAAGAGAGCCAAAUGGAGUCACGGCCUGUGAAGAGAGGUAGUCAAGAAGCAGGACGAUGAAUCAUAUUUUUUCAAGGACGUACGAAAGCAUGAAGGUUUAGCACUGAAAGGAGUAUGUUUUCAGGACGGUUCUGAGCCAGCCAAGCAAUGACCCCUAUCUUGAAGGAGAUUUCUCCCACGAUCCAAGAUAAUCGUUCUGGCUUGAAACGACAGUGUUCUGAAAAUUCUAGGAAUUGUGCUUUCGGUGUUAGUUGGCAGCCCAUAUUCUUCUCCUUCCUUCCCCUUUGUCUGAAAUCAAAACGGAACAAAGGAGUCAGGACUGAGCUUUGGUAUUGAUUAGAAAACUUUGAAGCAUUAUAAUGGCGACGAGAGAGCAAACAAGUCAGAGAAAGGUAUGUAUCUUUUUUUUUUGUGUAUUGGUUCUUCUAUCUUAUCCUCUCAUGCAAAAGGCUGGACAAAUUCAGGUAUUCAUUCCGUUUUCCCUCCCAAAUCUGUUGCAAUCAGUCCUGAGAUUUGGACUGUGCCAUUCGGGAGUCUUACAACAUUAUUUUGCUAUGUUAUUUAAAUUUCCAGUUAGCAGUAAUGUCGCUGAUCUUCCUAGUGAUGUUGGCCUGCAUGUUUUAACUUUUAAGCCUAAGACCCUAUAUUUUGGUGGAGGAGGAUGCUUUGAUCGGCUGGUGAUGGUUUUGAUGGAUCGUUUUUGUCUUCUCUGCGCUACAUCUUCAGGUUUCGGAUGAUGCUUUUAUCGAUGAGAGUGAUGGCUUUGAUGGACACGUUUCUUCUCUGUGCUACUUCUUCAAAUGGUUUUGUUCUUCCUCUUAACACGUCUUUAACUUCUUUUUUUUGUUUUGUUUGUUCCUUACGUUUCUUUUUUGGAAGCAAACCAUGAUCCAAUCAUCACGUUUCUAAUCAAUGUUAUUGUCUUCAAGCGUUCUCAUUGGUUCCUUGCUCUAAACUCAUCUCUAUUUGCUUCUUUAUUGUCACUUUGGUUCGGUGGUUUGUCUUAUUUCUAGUUACAUAAUGUCGUUUUUGUUUUGUUGGUUUAGAUUUGUGGACGAUGAUCCUGCGAUUGAUCGGUGAUGGCUUUGACUGAUCGUUGUCACUCUCUUACUCAUGUUGCUCUUCUAGAGUUUGGUUUCUAAAUUGAUCAUUCAAGGCUUUUUUAUUAUGUUCAUGCGAUUUUUAAUUCUGUUAAUUUUCAGUUAACAGUAAUGUCGCUGAUCUUCCUAGUGAUGUUGGCCUGCAUGUUUUAACUUUUAAGCCUAAGACCCUAUAUUUUAGUGGAGGAGGAUGCUUUGAUCGGCUGGUGAUGGUUUUGAUGGAUCGUUUUUGUCUUCUCUGCGCUACAUCUUCAGGUUUCGGAUGAUGCUUUUAUCGAUGAGAGUGAUGGCUUUGAUGGACACGUUUCUUCUCUGUGCUACUUCUUCAAAUGGUUUUGUUCUUCCUCUUAACACGUCUUUAACUUCUUUUUUUUGUUUUGUUUGUUCCUUACGUUUCUUUUUUGGAAGCAAACCAUGAUCCAAUCAUCACGUUUCUAAUCAAUGUUAUUGUCUUCAAGCGUUCUCAUUGGUUCCUUGCUCUAAACUCAUCUCUAUUUGCUUCU